RNAcentral lists this ribosomal RNA (362 nucleotides) under uncultured eukaryote. RNAcentral's name for it is "partial 18S ribosomal RNA". It matches the Rfam family "Eukaryotic small subunit ribosomal RNA", at positions 592 to 976 of the family's 1831-position model. The record is from RNAcentral.
CAAUAGCAUAUAUUAACGUUGUUGCAGUUGAAAAGCUCGUAGUUGAACUUUUGGUAGGAGCGACCUGGCCUUGGGCGCAUGCCCUUGUUUGCCGUGUGUCGUAUCUGGCCAUCCUUUUCUUCUUUUUGGAAGGAAUCUUUUACUGUGAGUAAACUGGAGUGCUCAAAACAAGACGUUUGUUUGGUACAUUAAAGCAUGGAAUAAUAAGAUAGGACCUGGUUACUAUUUUGUUGGUUUGCAUAGCUAGGUAAUGAUUAACAGGGACAGUUGGGGGUAUUCGUAUUUAAUUGUCAGGGGUGAAAUUCUUGGAUUUAUGAAAGACGAACGACUGCGAAAGCAUUUACCAAGGAUGUUUUCAUUAA